GAUUCUAGAGAGGGAGAAUGAGCGAGAGCAUCCUUCUGGAGGAAGUCCCUAUCUGUAAUAUUUAGUUUUGCUUACUGUGCAAAGUAAACAUGCUCAUAUGAGUCAUUUAAAAGCUUGGCUUUCUCUGGAAAUGCUCUAACUUGGCCGUUUGAGUAUCUAGCUGGUGUAUAGGGAGACACUGGCUCUCAUAUACAACACCACCACGUUUCAUUCUGCAGCAGGCUCCAGCAUCAGCAUCAGCACGCACCGUCAUUAUCAGGUGCAGGUCGAGGAUUUGGUACACGGAGGAAGAAGACAUUCGGAAGUAAUGCUUGUAGUGUCCGGGCACAAUCGAGCGUGUUGAAUGAAGAAGCGGCUACCGGGACUGCUCGGUGUUCUUUUCCCGUCCAGACGAGCUUGUCACUCGGAGGAACAUGCCAGCCGGGCGGGUAAUGCAGCCUCCCUGGCUGGAGGAGUAAACGGGACCGCGCGUCGUCCGAGACAGAAAGAUGGAGCGUUUUUUUCUGCUGCUUCUCAGCUGUUUGGGCGUCUCGCGGGGCUCGGCGGAUACCUUGUCCCCCCCUGUCAAUGUUACCAUCAAAGCAGUGAAAGCUAACUCUGCUCUGGUGACAUGGGACAUCCCCGAAGGAGACCCUGUCAUUGGCUUUGCCAUCACACAGCAGAAGAAAGACGUGCGUAUGCUCCGAGUCAUCCAGGAAGUCAACACCACCACACGCUCCUGUGCAUUAUGUGACUUAGAGGAAGAGACGGACUACAUCGUGCACGUCCAGUCCAUCAGCAUGUUCGGGACGAGCCCAGAAAGCGAACCUUUACGCUUCCGAACACCCAAGGAGGCCGACACUCAGGCUUCUAAGAAUAAAGACGAAGAGACUAUGGAGGAAGUGGGCCAGACCAACCAGUUGAGGGCGGGGGAGCUCAUCAUCAUUGUUGUGGUGCUUAUCAUGUGGGCAGGCGUGAUCGCUCUCUUCUGUCGCCAGUAUGACAUCAUCAAAGACAAUGAGCCCAACAACAACAAGGACAAAGCCAAAAACUCAUCAGAGUGCAGCACUCCUGAACACCCGACAGGGGGUCUGUUGCGCAGUAAGGUAUAACCCACCCACCCCCUUCCUCCCCCGAGGUGCCUCCCCCUUCCCCCUUCAACAGCGACGGGCAGUUCUCCAAGAACAACAAUCGGAUGCCAUCUGUCAACAUCAUUGAAGUGUGAGUGUCUUCUGCCUGCGCAUACUACAGACUGUGUGUUCUCGCAAAUCUGCUCGUCAGAAUGCAUCGCUUACGUUUCCCUCGCCUCGGGCCUGCCGACGAAGCAAAGCUUGCUGGACUCCGAGGAUUUAGGAACAACUCGGCCAGGCUGAGAUGAGAACCCACAGUGGAGCGACUGCAGGGAGAGUUGAGCCGAUCUGCCGUGCUUAACAAGCACCGUAUGGUGGGAGAGGCAGAGAUUAGGUGCCAAAUGGUCCUGGCGGCGGACAGACAGAAUGCUGAUAAAGGAACCCCAAGGACCAACAUCGAUAAGCAGAGCCGGAAAGCUUUUCUUCUCUGUCUGGAAAUGGGUCGCCAUACAGUAUGUGGGUACUUCCCAUUGUGUCUAUAUAUUCCUUUGUGGUGUGAUUUAAUGCCAUCCUCUCGAUGUUGUUUUGUCCUAACAUUAUGUAAUCUUGACUUUUUUUUUUUAUGAGUAAGGGUUAAGUGUAGUUUUGUUACAUAAUGUACUGCCAGUACCGGUACAUCUCAUGGAGGAAGGAGAAGAACUGCGGGGAAUAAACGUCUGGCGAGCUUGUUUCCCCCCUCAGGGAAUCCAGACAGCACCUGUCUUGAGUUUGGAGGAGUUUCUCAAAAGCGAGCUGCGACGACGCCAUAGCAGGAAGGCUCACCGCUGAAGUCACGUGAUUCUUUACAUUCCACAUCCUGAAUGAGCUGUCUUUAUUUAUCUCGAAGGGUGGUGGAUACCUGCAUUCUGGGUAAAAAAAAAAAGACUUGACCCAGUGUGCCUCAUUGAUUUGAAUUUUAAAAGAGUCUACACAGGGAAGUGGCCUUUGUAGAGACACAAGAGGAGAUUCCUUAAGCAAUAACAACUUCAAGCCCCGACACAUGACGGGCAAGGACUUGAUGAGGUCACAUUCUGUAGAAGAAAAAAAACAACACACAAAUGUAACCUC
This is an RNA transcript of Syngnathus acus (greater pipefish), 2156 nucleotides long. It is a transcript of the gene named fibronectin type III domain containing 5a, with no coding region annotated. Lineage: Eukaryota; Metazoa; Chordata; Actinopteri; Syngnathiformes; Syngnathidae. The transcript has 6 exons. The record is from RefSeq and is a predicted model, not a curated record.